UAUCACUCCAAAUCCUAUGCUUUUAAAUUCUCAGCACUGAAGCCGAAGUGGUCAUUUAAAAAUCAGGCCUGAAAUCCUUCACUUCCCUGCUCACAACAUUUCAAUGGCUCCUCCUUGCCUCGGGGAUUGGGUCUAAUCUCUUUGCCUUCCUGUGGCAUGGCCCUACUUGCUUGUAAACUCAUCUCUUACAGCCUUGCUCUCCCCUACUUCUGCUCUAGCCAUUUCACUCCAUGCUGUUCUCCACACAUGCUAUAUCCUCUCACCUCUGCUUCCUUGAAAAUGAUAUUCCCUUUCCCUGGAUAAAAAGCUACCAAAAAUUCAAAAAUGGUCUAUGAAUUAGUAUGUUAUGCAGCACAACAGCAUCUAUACACAUUUGAAAAAGUAUUCACAUAUAGUCCUCCUAUGGAAAAAUGAACAGUGCUCCAGGCAACCAAAGUAAAUAUAGACUAAAUGGGAUUACAUCAAGCUAAAAAGCUUCACAGAGCGAAGGAAGCAGUCAGCAAAGUGAAGAGACAACCCACAGAAUGGGAGAAAAUAUUUGCAAAUUACCAAUCUGACAAAAGAUUAAUAACCAGCAUAUAUAAGGAGCUCAAACUACUGAAUAGCAAAAGAACAAUCGGAUUAAAAAAUGGGCAAAAUAUCUGAAUAGGCAUUUCUCAAAAGAUGACAAAUCCAACAGGUAUAUGAAAAAAUGAUCAACAUCACUAAUCAUCAGAGUAAUGCAAAUCAAAACCACAAUGAAAUAGCAUUUCACCCCAGUUAAUGUGGCUUUUAUCAAAAAGACAGGCAAUAAUGAAUGCUGGCAAAGAUGUAGAGAAAGAAGAACUACGCUGCUGGUGGGAAUGUAAAUUAGUACAACCACUGUGGAGAACAGUUUGGAGGUUCCUCAAAAGACUGAAAAUAGAACUACCAUAUGAUCCAGCAAUUCCACCACUGGGUAGAUCCUGAAAAGGAAGGAAAUCAAUAUAUCAAAGAGACAUCUGCACUCCCAUGUUUAUUGCAGCCGUAUUCACAACAGCCAAAACAUGGAAUCAACCUAAGUGCCUAUCGACAGAUGAC
RNAcentral lists this long non-coding RNA (1059 nucleotides) under Homo sapiens (human). Its description in RNAcentral is "HSALNT0009792". Lineage: Eukaryota; Metazoa; Chordata; Mammalia; Primates; Hominidae. The record is from RNAcentral.